RNAcentral lists this unclassified non-coding RNA (537 nucleotides) under Zea mays. RNAcentral describes it as "misc RNA Zm00001eb337730". Lineage: Eukaryota; Viridiplantae; Streptophyta; Magnoliopsida; Poales; Poaceae. The record is from RNAcentral.
CGGCAAUCAUGUGCACAGCACUAGUACUAGUACAGUACACCACCGGUCGGCUGUGUUUUGCGCCGAGCACCCUGAUCGAUCGAAGAGGCCGCGCGCGCGCGUGCUAUGUACAGUACAGACGGCGGAGAGAGAGAGCAGCUCAGGCGCAGAGGGCGCCGAGCUCCCGGAGCCGGGGCACGAGGCGGCCGCUGAGGUGGAGCCGCAUGAGGCCCUCGAGGCCGCCGACGGGGUCGCCGCCUACGAAGAGCGCCGGGACGCCGCCGCCCUCGGCCGCCGCCAGCUCUUCCUCCUCCUCCUCGGCGCUGCCUAGCUCGAUGACGGUGGCGUGCGCGCCCACGGCCGCCAGCAGCCGCCGCAUCACGUGCGCCAUGCAGCAGCCGCGCCGCGCGAAGAUCACCACGGGGCUCUCCCGGACCAGCCGCCCCACGCGCGCCGCGGGGGCCUCCUCCUCCCCCGCCGGGUCGAUGGUCAGCCCGCGCCGCCGGAUGCCCACCGCCUGCAUGCUCUCGACCUGGACCACCCACCCACCCACCCACC